UUGCAUUAACUGAAGAGAUCAGGGGAAAAUUGGGGUUGGUUGAAUUGAAUGUAUUUUUUUUUUUUUUGGUGUUUUAGUAAAUUUUUUGGGGUGUGAUUGUAUUCAAGUGCAGAGUAGUUGGGGUUGUUAGAGAAUUAAUUUAAUUUGAGUAGGUAAUUUUCUGUAAUUAUAAAAGUUUAUGUUUCUGUUUCACUUUCCCAUUUGAAGGAUGUGAUAUGUGUGACCUAAUUUUGUAUCAUUUUGAUCAUAGGAAAUGAACUUGGGCUAAGAAAAUCUAUUUUAAGAAAAAA
RNAcentral lists this unclassified non-coding RNA (290 nucleotides) under Hevea brasiliensis (rubber tree). The record is from RNAcentral. Lineage: Eukaryota; Viridiplantae; Streptophyta; Magnoliopsida; Malpighiales; Euphorbiaceae.